This 3920-nucleotide long non-coding RNA is filed under the name Homo sapiens (human). RNAcentral describes it as "HSALNT0318432". The record is from RNAcentral. Lineage: Eukaryota; Metazoa; Chordata; Mammalia; Primates; Hominidae.
UUCCUGUUAUAUUGUUAGUUUCAUUUUGCAGUUGGAUAAAUAGGGUUAGAGAAUAGGAGGCUUUUCCAGAGUUAAGCAGCUAGAGAUAACAUCAUAAAUAUAGAAGAAAGUGGCUUCUGAAAGGUGUGUUAAAUGUGUAAAAGCUUACUUCCCUUCUCCCAUAAAAGAAGUUGGCGUAAAGGCAGUCUAGGCUUGGCAUGGUGUUUCCGAGACCAUGCUUCAAUCUUUCUCCUCCAGAAUCAUCAGACCAGUUUCUAACCUCAAGUUUACUGCAUGGUCCUACGAUGUCUGCUGGAAAGCCUGUCAUCACAUUCACAUUCCAGGCAGACAGCAGGCGCAAGUGGAUGAGGACAAAGAUCAUUUAUUCCCUCCCCUUUAAGACCCUCCUGAAAGUCAGUCACACAUGACUUUUCCCACUUCAUUGGCCAAAACUUUAUCUCUUGACCACUCCUGGCUAUAAAGCAGCUGGCAAUGCCAUCAUUUCAGGGGUUUAUAUGUGCUGUUCUAAAUACUGGGGUCUGUUCUUACGAGCAGAAAAGAAUGAGAGAAUGGAUAUUGGGAAGCAAGAGCAGCCUCUGCUCCAGCUAGAGAGGGGCAGAAAGACCCUGGUGUAUCCUCAGACUGCUGUACCCUAUGCCUGCUCACAGGACAGACAAGAGCCUUUUAAGGGUGAAGACAGGACUAGACCCCAGCCUCCUGGUCACAUGACUCAGAGAUCUCCCAUAUCCUUUUACCUUCUGUUGCAUGGAGUGGAAUGGGUCGGAGUUUGAGAUGUGGAUCUUUGUGUUAGUCUGAGACUUUUUCUGUGUGGGAGAGAUUGUAUCCUACACACAGUCUAGAAGACAUUGGGGAGGCCCUGAAGCAAUUACUAUUGCUAGAAAUAAAGUGUAGAGACAGAAGUGGGGAUGGGAUGGUACUAGAGAGUUAGGCACAAGUCGAGUGAUGAGAGGUUGAGUCUGGUCUGCACAGGAUCCUAAUAGAUCUUAACAGGCUGCAGCAAUGGUCUAAGCAUAAUGAGGCAAAACUGAAACUGAACAGGAACAGAACAUGUUACACCCGAGUCCAAAAGAAAACUAACAAGAUGCACUGAUGUGACUUAGUAUCUUCAGGAUAAAAAUGACAGAAGCACUUCAGUAAUAUCAGCCAUAAUGUGUAAGGGAGUUAUUUUGAUCUCAGCCUGCAGGAGCAGAGAAUUUCAACGAGGUGAGAGGCAUGCUUUGCCAUGCACAGGCUAGACCACACUUGUCAUGCUGCAUGUAGUUCUGAAAAGGACAGACCAAAGUUUUAAAAGGAGAGAAGCCAGGAUGGGAUUGAAGAAUCCUCAGGUUGUAUAUUUAACAUUUUUAUCAGUCACUUAGGUCACGCCUGCUUACCAAAUUUGUGGAUUACUCUAAUCUGACAGAGGUGGUAGAUACAGUGACAGGCAGAAUCAGUCAAAUAGAACAAUGAGCCAAUGCCAGGCUAUGAAAUUGAAAACAGAUCAAGGUAUCUCACCCCCAAAAAUGAUAAGUAUGUGAAGUAAUGCAUAUGUUAAUUAGCACUAUUUAGCCAUUUCAGAAAGCCUGCUUAUUUCAAACAACAUGCUGUACACAAUAAAUAUAUAUAAGAUCUGUGUCAACUAAAGAAUUAAAAUUAAAAUUAAAAGUCAAAGAAAAAAAAAGAAAAAAGUUUGGAAGAGCAAUCCAUUGUUCAAGAAAGGGAUGAGAGAGACCUGGUACAAUGGCUGUUCUAACAAAUCAGCACUUUAGUGGGCAGCAGGGCUCAUCAAAGUACCAGUGUGUCUGUGUGUGUCCCAGGCUGGUGGAUGGUGGGCUUCCAAGGAGCCUCCAGGCAGCACUGAUAUUCAUGACUUCACCCAAGCCAGGAUUUUGACCUUGGCUUUGUGGGUUUAGAUUUUCAAAGUGUUUGAGUUUCCUGGACUUGGGGAGGCUGACUCUCACUAACAAUGCUUUUAGGAGACUGCAGAUGCCGAAAGUAUUGAUUUUCAGCAUGAAUUCUACUUGUUAGGUACCUUAAACCUGAUCAGCAUACAUAUGGUUCUUCUUCCAUGUAAGAAAACCACAUGAGGAACCAAAUAAUACCUCUAAGGAGUUUUGAGGAGGAUGGAACUGAAAAGAGGGAUUAGGUUUGCAGCAGUUGACUUGGCCAUGGAUUUCUUUGGGUAAGGAGAUGAUCUUUGAUCCCUGUAUUCCAGGGCCUAUCCCAGUACCCCCAAAAGAUGCUCCAUAAAUGUUUAUGAAAUGACUAGUGAAUGAAUGAAUGAAUAAAUGAAGUGAGCUCAGUGGGAAUUUUCCCUUAAUUUUGCUCACUGUUUCACUCCUUGGAAGUAGCCACUUCUCUGCUUCACUUGUAGGCCAGAUCCAGUUAUUAAAUUUCUAAAUUAUCCUUCUGUCUAUGGGGCUGACUCUCUAAUGAGGUCUUGUAAGUCUUUGCUUCCAUCCUCGGAGUCCAGACAAGGAGCUCUUGCCUCAGGCACAGCCUCUGUUCUCUGGGAUGUCUCACCUUUUUAGCAGGGAAGCGUUCUGUGCCAGAUGCUUAACUUGUGUCCUCCUACCAGGGAGAUUCCAUGAGGAACCUUCUCUGUUCACUUUAGGCAGAUUGGAUUGGCUUCUCCUUGCUGUACUUCUAGCUAGAUUAACUGUUAAACAAAUAUCUAUUACUUAUCUGUCAUAUUCUAGGCACUGUGCUAGGACAUGAGAAUGUUCAAGUGGGUAAGAUACAGUUUGACAUAAGGGACAAAGUGCUGCAGUCCAGAAGGAGAGAAGACAAAUAAUAAAUAAUUAUUUUACAGGGUAAUACAUGCUAUGUUAUUAUGUUAUUAUUCUAUAAUAAUUAUGGGAGCACAAUGGGUGAGGAGGGCACUGUGGGAGCCUGGGUGAGGAGCGCCAACCCACCCGGAGGCGCAAGGAAAGCUUUCUGGAGGAGUUAACACCUGAUCUUGUAGGAUGGGAAAGAGCAAGAUAUUAAAGAUAAGUGAUUCCAAGUCAAGUGGUGAGCAAGAUCAAAAUGACAGACACUUGACAUAGCAUGAUGUGUGCAAGGAAACAUGAACUAAUCUGUAUUAUUAGUGAUAACAGUUGAGGAAUGGGGGGUGAGAGGCAGAUGGAGGGGCAGGCAGGGUUUAGGGUGUGGAAGGCAUGGUAAGCUGAGCUAGGGACUUUGUAGGACAUUAACUAGAGUGAGGUGAAUAAGGCCUAUUUUAGGCACAAAAUGUAAAAGGGCUUCAAGGUCUCAGUAACUAGGAUAAGUAAUAUUAAAUGCAAUAUUUUAAACAAAAUUAAUGCAAAAACCCACAGUGAAAAAAAAAUAAAAUUUUAAGAUAAAUAGUAUUGAGUGAAUUCUUAUAAUUUCAUGUUGCUUCAGUAUCCAUUUUGAAUAUAACUUUAACUUUCUCAUACCAGAAGCAGGCUUAGUCACCCUUGGUGCAGUAUCCAGUUUUACAACUCCUCCUAGUUCCUUAAGGUGGUCAGUUCAGCUCUCUGGCUUAUAUAACUCGUGAUAGUUACCUCUCCAUGAGACAGCCAGAUACAACUGACCUAAUUAGCCCCACUGACCUCCACACCCCACAUGGACUGUGCAGGUGUGCCACAGUGGCCACCUCUUAGUCACAGCGUGACCCCCAUGAAACUAAUGCCUGCUUGUACCACCAGUUAGACCUCCCCACAGGAAACCUGCUUGAGUAACUCCCAGGACCCAAUAAAGAAUUUGGCUUACAGGUCCCCUUCUCUCUCUCUUGCUCCCCACCUGCUGGCUGAAUGCACGUGUCCUCAGUGGCUUCCCCCUUUCCAGUGACCCUGGGAGGCAUACUGCCCCCUGCACUGUGGAAUCUCUCAGCCACUUGGGUCUCCUUUGCCAAGGAGUGUCCUCCCUCUGGAACUCAAUACCAGCUCUUUCUUCUUCUGGAAUCUUCUCUCAGCUCU